ACUAAGUGCCCCGGAGACGACGCGGACGCGGGGCGAGGAGACUGCCCAGGGGGCUGCGGUGGGUCCUGCGCCCUGGGCCCGCUGUCUCGCCUUCAGACGACUUUGGUAGAGCGAAAAACAAGCAUCCUGUCGCUGCUGCCCGCCCUCACGCCUUCCUUUUUUUCCUGUCUUACAAAUCCUAGGAUCAUCCAGCUCAGGAAAUGCUGGAAGGAAGUUAGCUAGGGAGGGGGGCGGUGGGUGGAAAUUUUUGGCAGCUCGGUGCUUGUGAGUGUGUGGAGCUAGAGGAAGUAGGUGGGUGGGUUGAGGAGCACGGGGUUGGGGUAGAGAACGCGUUCUCCCGAGAGCAGUUCUGCGACUCCAGAGAUAACUGGGCAGCCCCGGAGGAAAUCGCGCUCUUCUCGCAGGACCCGCAGCCGCAGCCGCCGCUUCCUGCCCCGCCGAGCCGGCUCUUUGAAGUGGCGGGAGGAGGUGCGCUGGCAUUCUGCGGGGACCGUGCUGGUUGGGACUUUCAGAACCCUCUGCCCUGGUUUUAUCCUCAUUGUCAUCGUAUCUUUGACACUUUCUAUUUCGGUGCCCGCCUGUCUGCUACGCAAAUACUUAAAGAGUAAUGACAGAGACAAACAGGGGACUCCAGCGGAGAAACCUGACAGGCAGUGGCUUCACGCCGGCCACUCCCAUCCCAACCUCCUCUGCAGCGUUCGUGCACCCCCACCUCAGCUCACUCCCCUCCCACUCUGGGGUAAAGAUACCCCUGGGCAAAGAGAGGCUGCAGCUUUGUAACCACUGCCCAGGAAAUCAGAUUUCUGGUUACAUAUUCAAGACACACACACACACUACUGCAAAGUUUUCUAAAUGGAAGUGAUUUGGGGGGGACAAACCAGGAUUUAAGAUGCCUCUGACACAUGAAAUGUGAAGAAAGCAGUCUCCCAGGUUCUUUCAUAAUUUGUUUCAAGUUGUUUCAAGAGGGCAUGUUUUUUUCUUCUCCAGUUAGAUUUUAAAUUCUUUAACUUCUGUGUACUCAGCACACAGAAAGCACUCAAAUUCUUGUGAUUUAACCAUUUGAGGAUUAGAUGAAACUUCCUGUAUAAAUUCAAAUCCAUAUACAGGCUUGAAGGAUAGGGGCAUAUGUCAUACAGCUCAGAUUGCUGGCAAAGCUGCAUCCGUAGCAUUUUAGGUACUGAAUCCCUUUACAGUCACUGUCUCUCUAUGUAACCUUAACAGUCUAUGAACUUU
Molecule: long non-coding RNA, 1233 nt
Filed under: Homo sapiens (human)
Lineage: Eukaryota; Metazoa; Chordata; Mammalia; Primates; Hominidae
Description: non-protein coding lnc-B4GALT4-3:1
Source: RNAcentral